This is a long non-coding RNA of Mesocricetus auratus (golden hamster), 733 nucleotides long. RefSeq lists it as uncharacterized. The transcript is spliced from 3 exons. The record is from RefSeq and is a predicted model, not a curated record. NCBI's taxonomy places the organism in Eukaryota, Metazoa, Chordata, Mammalia, Rodentia, Cricetidae.
GCCUGUACAUGAAAAUGGCCCCAGCCUCGGGCUCACUUAAAAAUCAUCAGGGAUUCUAAUUGAUGAGCCUGAAAUGAGCAGGACAAUGUUUCUUUGUAAACCACCAUCAUAGAUUUCUGAUGAAUCAGGAGCCAAAAGUGAGAGAGGCUGUCACAGUCCCAGCUGGAACCCCUGGAAUUGAUUAUCACCCAUUUUCUCAGAAGAUAGAGCACAGAUAGCAUGAUGAGAGUGACCAGCAGACCUAGACCUAACAAGCUUGGAACAUGCUGUGUCUCUUCAUGCCUCCAUACGAUGCUUUACUGCAGCCAGAGCAGGCUACACAGGAGCAGAUGGGCUGUCUUCAUGCGCAUUCCUCUACUGUGUGCCUGGAGAUACCCAGCAGUCAGACAGGUUACCCGAAAGGAGGCAACAUGACUUUGAUGUACCCAGCAGUUUGGAGGGCACAGCUUACACAUGCCUGUGUCCAGCAUGUACCAUGGGGCUCAGCCCAUCUCUUACUACAUGUACCAACAUUGGCAGAAUGCAAUCUGACUCCAGAGCCCUUCCCAUGGCCCUUCACUCCAUCAGGAGUAAGCAGUGACCAGCUCUGCCAGACCCUCAGAGCUGUUUGGUUGGGGACUCUGUAUUCGAUGUUCAUCCACUGCUUCCCUAAUUUGUACCAUGACUUCAUCCGUUAUUGAUGAUAAUUAUGUUUCCUUAUCAUGAGACAUGAAGGAGAAAGAAAAUGGAAACU